This 253-nucleotide ribosomal RNA is filed under the name uncultured bacterium. Its description in RNAcentral is "partial 16S ribosomal RNA". It matches the Rfam family "Bacterial small subunit ribosomal RNA", at positions 524 to 776 of the family's 1533-position model. The record is from RNAcentral.
UACGUAGGGUGCAAGCGUUGUCCGGAAUUAUUGGGCGUAAAGAGCUCGUAGGUGGCGGGUCAAGUCGGAUGUGAAAUCCCCAGGCUCAACCUGGGAACUGCAUUCGAGACUGGAUUACUAGAGUAUGGGAGAGGGAAGUGGAAUUUCCGGUGCAGCGGUGAAAUGCGUAGAUAUCGGAAGGAACAUCAGUGGCGAAAGCGACUUCCUGGACCAAUACUGACGCUCAUGUGCGAAAGCGUGGGGAGCAAACAGG